CAGCAGUGGGGAAUAUUGCACAAUGGGCGAAAGCCUGAUGCAGCGACGCCGCGUGAGGGAUGACGGCCUUCGGGUUGUAAACCUCUUUCAGCAGGGACGAAGCGCAAGUGACGGUACCUGCAGAAGAAGCACCG
RNAcentral lists this ribosomal RNA (134 nucleotides) under uncultured bacterium. RNAcentral's name for it is "partial 16S ribosomal RNA". It matches the Rfam family "Bacterial small subunit ribosomal RNA", at positions 349 to 495 of the family's 1533-position model. The record is from RNAcentral.